AUUGAACGCUAACGGCGUGCUUAACACAUGCAAGUCGAGCGGCAGCAUGACUGUAGCAAUACAGUUGAUGGCGAGCGGCGGACGGGUGAGUAAUGCAUAGGAAUCUGCCUUGUAGUGGGGGAUAACCCGGGGAAACUCGGGCUAAUACCGCAUAAUCUCUACAGAGCAAAGUGGGGGACCUUCGGGCCCUACGCUAAAAGAUGAGCCUAUGUUGGAUUAGCUAGUUGGUAGGGUAAAGGCCUACCAAGGCAACGAUCCAUAGCUGGUCUGAGAGGAUGAGCAGCCACACUGGGACGGAGACACGGCCCAGACUCCUACGGGAGGCGGCAGUGGGGAAUAUUGGACAAUGGGCGAAAGCCUGAUCCAGCAACGCCGGGUGUGUGAAGAAGGCCUUCGGGUUGUAAAGCACUUUUAGUGGGGAAGAAAAGUUCAUGGCUAAUAUCCAUGAAUGCUGACGUUACCCACAGAAAAAGCACUGGCUAACUCUGUGCCAGCCGCCGCCGUAA
Molecule: ribosomal RNA, 506 nt
Filed under: uncultured bacterium
Lineage: Bacteria
Description: partial 16S ribosomal RNA
Rfam family: Bacterial small subunit ribosomal RNA
Source: RNAcentral